RNAcentral lists this ribosomal RNA (662 nucleotides) under uncultured archaeon. RNAcentral describes it as "bacterial SSU rRNA". It matches the Rfam family "Archaeal small subunit ribosomal RNA", at positions 149 to 809 of the family's 1478-position model. The record is from RNAcentral.
AUCCCCCAUAGGCCUGAGGUACUGGAAGGUCCUCAGGCCGAAAGGGGCUCUGCCCGCCCGAGGAUGGGCCGGCGGCCGAUUAGGUAGUUGGUGGGGUAACGGCCCACCAAGCCGAAGAUCGGUACGGGCCAUGAGAGUGGGAGCCCGGAGAUGGACACUGAGACACGGGUCCAGGCCCUACGGGGCGCAGCAGGCGCGAAACCUCCGCAAUGCGGGCAACCGCGACGGGGGGACCCCCAGUGCCGUGGCAACGCCACGGCUUUUCCGGAGUGUAAAAAGCUCCGGGAAUAAGGGCUGGGCAAGGCCGGUGGCAGCCGCCGCGGUAAUACCGGCGGCCCGAGUGGUGGCCGCUAUUAUUGGGCCUAAAGCGUCCGUAGCCGGGCCCGUAAGUCCCUGGCGAAAUCCCACGGCUCAACCGUGGGGCUUGCUGGGGAUACUGCGGGCCUUGGGACCGGGAGAGGCCGGGGGUACCCCUGGGGUAGGGGUGAAAUCCUAUAAUCCCAGGGGGACCGCCAGUGGCGAAGGCGCCCGGCUGGAACGGGUCCGACGGUGAGGGACGAAGGCCAGGGGAGCGAACCGGAUUAGAUACCCGGGUAGUCCUGGCUGUAAAGGAUGCGGGCUAGGUGUCGGGCGAGCUUCGAGCUCGCCCGGUGCCGAAGGGA